This is a small nucleolar RNA of Zingiber officinale, 101 nucleotides long. RefSeq annotates it as small nucleolar RNA snoR31/Z110/Z27. The transcript has a single exon. The record is from RefSeq and is a predicted model, not a curated record. NCBI's taxonomy places the organism in Eukaryota, Viridiplantae, Streptophyta, Magnoliopsida, Zingiberales, Zingiberaceae.
UGUGUCAAAUGAUGAAAUCAUGAAUAUUUUCUUAGGACACCUUCCUACACUUCCCAUUUAUGGGUUGUGGAUGAGAAUAACAUGUUCAUGCUGAUGAUAAU